This 466-nucleotide ribosomal RNA is filed under the name uncultured bacterium. Its description in RNAcentral is "bacterial SSU rRNA". It matches the Rfam family "Bacterial small subunit ribosomal RNA", at positions 335 to 797 of the family's 1533-position model. The record is from RNAcentral.
ACUCCUACGGGAGGCAGCAGUGGGGAAUAUUGCACAAUGGGGAAACCCUGAUGCAGCCAUGCCGCGUGUGUGAAGAAGGCCUCGGUUGUAAAGCACUUCAGUAGGGAGGAAGGUAGUGUAGUUAACACCUGCACUAUUUGACGUUACCUACAGAAGAAGCACCGGCUAACUCCGUGCCAGCAGCCGCGGUAAUACGGAGGGUGCGAGCGUUAAUCGGAAUUACUGGGCGUAAAGCGCAUGCAGGCGGCCUGUUAAGUCAGAUGUGAAAGCCCGGGGGCUUAACCUCGGAAUUGCAUUUGAAACUGGCAGGCUAGAGUCUUGUAGAGGGGGUAGGAAUUUCAGGUGUAGCGGUGAAAUGCGUAGAGAUCUGAAGGAAUACCAGUGCGAAGCGGCCCCCUGGACAAAGACUGACGCUCAGAUGCGAAAGCGUGGGGAGCGAAACAGGAUUAGAUACCCUGGUAGCACA